Molecule: ribosomal RNA, 483 nt
Filed under: uncultured bacterium
Lineage: Bacteria
Description: partial 16S ribosomal RNA
Rfam family: Bacterial small subunit ribosomal RNA
Source: RNAcentral
AUUGAACGCUGGCGGCAUGCUUUACACAUGCAAGUCGAACGGCAGCGCGGGCUUCGGCCUGGCGGCGAGUGGCGAACGGGUGAGUAAUGCAUCGGAACGUGCCCAGUAGUGGGGGAUAGCCCGGCGAAAGCCGGAUUAAUACCGCAUACGACCCGAGGGUGAAAGCGGGGGACCGAAAGGCCUCGCGCUAUUGGAGCGGCCGAUGUCGGAUUAGCUAGUUGGUGGGGUAAAGGCUUACCAAGGCGACGAUCCGAAGCUGGUCUGAGAGGACGACCAGCCACAUUGGGACUGGGACACGGCCCAGACCCCUAGGGAAGGCAGAGGUGGGAAAUUUUGGACAUUGGGGCAACCCUGAUCCAGCCAUGCCGCGUGCGGGAAGAAGGCCUUCGGGUUGUAAACCGCUUUUGUUCGGGAAGAAAUCCUCUGGGCUAAUACCCCGGGGGGAUGACGGUACCGGAAGAAUAAGCACCGGCUAACUACGUG